CGGCAGCCCUAGUGGUGACCGUUUUUAUUGGGCCUAAAGCGUCCGUAGCCGGUUUGGUAAAUCUUUUGUGAAAUCAUAGGGCUUAACUCUAUGGCGUGCAGAAGACACUGCUUGACUUGGGACCGGAGAGAAGUUAGGGGUAUUCGUAGAGGAGCGGUAAAAUGCUAUAAUCCCCGGAGGACCACCUGUGGCGAAGGCGUCUGACUAGAACGGUUUCGACGGUGAGGGACGAAAGCCAGGGGAGCAAACCGGAUUAGAUACCCGAGUAGUCC
Molecule: ribosomal RNA, 272 nt
Filed under: uncultured archaeon
Lineage: Archaea
Description: partial 16S ribosomal RNA
Rfam family: Archaeal small subunit ribosomal RNA
Source: RNAcentral